RNAcentral lists this ribosomal RNA (400 nucleotides) under phytoplankton environmental sample. RNAcentral's name for it is "partial small subunit ribosomal RNA". It matches the Rfam family "Eukaryotic small subunit ribosomal RNA", at positions 587 to 993 of the family's 1831-position model. The record is from RNAcentral.
AGCUCCAAUAGCGUAUAUUAAAGUUGUUGCAGUUAAAAAGCUCGUAGUUGGAUUUCGGGAUGGUUCUUUCGGUCCACCGCAAGGUGUGUCACUGAAGGAGCUGUUCUUCUUCGCAAAGACUGCGUGUGCUCUUAACUGAGUGUGCGUAAGAUUUGUGACGUUUACUUUGAAAAAAUUAGAGUGUUCAAAGCAGGCCAACGCUUGAAUACAUAAGCAUGGAAUAAUGGAAUAGGACAUCGGUUCUAUUUUGUUGGUUUCUGGAACCUAUGUAAUGAUUAACAGAGAUAGUUGGGGGCAUUCGUAUUUCGUUGUCAGAGGUGAAAUUCUUGGAUUUACGAAAGACGAACUACUGCGAAAGCAUUUGCCAAGAAUGUUUUCAUUAAUCAAGAACGAAAGUAGG